This 204-nucleotide non-coding RNA is filed under the name Pontibacter flavimaris. Lineage: Bacteria; Pseudomonadati; Bacteroidota; Cytophagia; Cytophagales; Hymenobacteraceae. The record is from RNAcentral. RNAcentral also lists the same sequence under 1 other name.
UUAACUUCGCACCAGAUUGGUGGCUGUAGAACUAUCGUUGUAUGGCCUUAAAAGGGAAGCAGGUGUGAGUCCUGCGCUGUUCCCGCAACUGUCAUCUUCUUAAAAAGGGUUAGCCAACACCUUAGCCACUGUGCCGCGCACGCUGCAUGGGAAGGCGCGCUAACUGAAGAGAGCCAGGAGACCUGCCAGUCCGACACCAGAUUU